Molecule: transfer RNA, 72 nt
Organism: Alligator mississippiensis (American alligator)
Lineage: Eukaryota; Metazoa; Chordata; Crocodylia; Alligatoridae
Rfam family: tRNA
About the family: Transfer RNA (tRNA) molecules are approximately 80 nucleotides in length. Their secondary structure includes four short double-helical elements and three loops (D, anti-codon, and T loops).
Source: Rfam
GGGGAUGUAGCUUAGUGGUAGAGUGCAUGCUUUGUAUGUAUGAGGUCUUGGGUUCAAUCCCCAGCACCUCCA